AUGGGGCCACAGGGCGCCGCCGGGGGGCGCUAUGGGGCCGCAGCAGUGGACCGCCAUGGGGCAACGGCGGAUGUCGCCAUGGGGCGGGCGGCGCGGGGGGUCCCCGGGGACGCCGUGGGGCAGGCGCCUCCCCGCCGUGGGGCGGGGGCGAAAGGGGAAGUUGGCGGCGGCCGCGGCUGCAUUUGCCGGCGCCGUGGGGCAGGGACGGGCGUGGGGCGCCGCCAUGGGGACGCUGAGGGGCAGAGUCGUGGGGCCGAGCUGUGGGGCAGAGCCGUGGGGCCGAGCCUUGGGGCGGAGGCGUGGGGCGACGUGCAGCGGAGCUGUGGGGCCACCGUGGGGCCGCCCGCAGCCCGGACCACGUCGCCGUCCGUCUUCCCGCUGCGUCACUGCGGCAGCAGCUCCUCCGAGAUCGUCGUCGGCUGCUUCGUCAGCGACUACCUCCCGGAGCCCGUGCGGGUGCAGUGGGACAGCGGCAGGGCCCACGGGCGCCCCCUCACCUUCCCCGCCGUCCGGAAACCUUCCUCCGGCCUCCUCAGCCUCAGCAGCCAGCUCACGCUGCCGGCCACUGGCGUCGAAGGCGUCUCCUGCACCGUGUCCCACCCGCCGUCCGGCUACAAGAAGACCAUGAAUGUUAACGCGGUGCGGGUGGAGUGGCUGGUGGACGGCGAGCCCACGCAGCUGCCGUCGCAGCAAAGCACCCCGCAGCCCGACGCCGGCGGCCGCACCUUCAGCACCAGCAGCCAGGUGAACGUCUCCGCCGCCGACUGGCAGGACAAGAGCUACGGCUGCCGGGUCUCGCACGCCAGCACCGGCACCGUGCUGGAGGAGAACGCCCGCAAGUGCCCAGGCGGCAGCCCGGCGGACGCCAGCGGCAUCCGGCUCUUCGUGCUGCCGCCGAGCCCCUCGGAGCUCUACAUGUCGCAGUCGCCGCGGCUCCUGUGCCUGGUCUCCAACCUGCCCAGCGACGAGGGGCUGCGGGUGAGCUGGGCGCGGGAGCGCGCCGGGCCGCUGAGCCCGCAGCCGCUGCAGCUGCGCGAGCAGCUCAACGGCACCUUCACGGCCCGGAGCGAGCUGCCCAUCUCCACGCGCGCCUGGGACGAGGGCGAGACCUUCACCUGCACCGUGAGCCACAGCGAGCUCCCGGCGCCGCUCAGCCGCACCGUCGACAGGCAGUUCGGGAAGCGCCUGGCGCCCAGCGUCUACGUGCUGCCGCCGCCGGCCGAGGAGCUGAGCAGCAGCUGGGACACCGUGAGCCUGACGUGCCUCGUGCGCGGCUUCUACCCGGAGGCCGUCUCGGUGCAGUGGCUGCGGAACCAGGCGCCGCUGGAGCCGGCGGCCGCCGACACGUGCGCGCCGGCCCGCGACCGCGGCGCCGACGGCGCCUUCUUCCUCUACAGCCGCCUGGCCGUGCCGCGGGCCAGCUGGGAGCGCGGCGACCCGUACGUCUGCAUGGUGGUGCACGAGGCGCUGCCCAUGCGCUUCCUGCAGCGCAGCGUCGCCCGCGGCCCCGGUAAAUGAGCGCGGGGGGCGGCGCGGGGGGCGCGGGGGCCGACAACCGCGGUGCUGCAACAGCCGCUGCACCAACAACCGCGGCAACAACCGCGCUGCACCAACAACCGCGGCACCAACCGCGGCACCAACCGCGGCACCAAGCAGCGGCUGCCGCCGCCGGGCCGCAAAUAAACUGCAGAAAGCGAAA
Non-coding RNA from Rhea pennata, 1699 nucleotides. NCBI's taxonomy places the organism in Eukaryota, Metazoa, Chordata, Aves, Rheiformes, Rheidae. The record is from the annotation of a RefSeq genome assembly.